AAAUUGAAGAGUUUGAUCAUGGCUCAGAUUGAACGCUGGCGGCAGGCCUAACACAUGCAAGUCGAACGGUAACAGGAAGCAGCUUGCUGCUUCGCUGACGAGUGGCGGACGGGUGAGUAAUGUCUGGGAAACUGCCUGAUGGAGGGGGAUAACUACUGGAAACGGUGGCUAAUACCGCAUAACGUCGCAAGACCAAAGAGGGGGACCUUCGGGCCUCUUGCCAUCAGAUGUGCCCAGAUGGGAUUAGCUUGUUGGUGAGGUAACGGCUCACCAAGGCGACGAUCCCUAGCUGGUCUGAGAGGAUGACCAGCCACACUGGAACUGAGACACGGUCCAGACUCCUACGGGAGGCAGCAGUGGGGAAUAUUGCACAAUGGGCGCAAGCCUGAUGCAGCCAUGCCGCGUGUAUGAAGAAGGCCUUCGGGUUGUAAAGUACUUUCAGCGGGGAGGAAGGUGUUGUGGUUAAUAACCGCAGCAAUUGACGUUACCCGCAGAAGAAGCACCGGCUAACUCCGUGCCAGCAGCCGCGGUAAUACGGAGGGUGCAAGCGUUAAUCGGAAUUACUGGGCGUAAAGCGCACGCAGGCGGUCUGUCAAGUCGGAUGUGAAAUCCCCGGGCUCAACCGGGAACUGCAUUCGAAACUGGCAGGCUUGAGUCUUGUAGAGGGGUAGAAUUCGAGUGUAGCGGUGAAAUGCGUAGAGAUCUGGAGGAAUACCGGUGGCGAAGGCGGCCCCCUGGACAAAGACUGACGCUCAGGUGCGAAAGCGUGGGGAGCAAACAGGAUUAGAUACCCUGGUAGUCCACGCCGUAAACGAUGUCUACUUGGAGGUUGUGCCCUUGAGGCGUGGCUUCCGGAGCUAACGCGUUAAGUAGACCGCACGGGAGUACGGCCGCAAGGUUAAAACUCAAAUGAAUUGACGGGGGCCCGCACAAGCGGUGGAGCAUGUGGUUUAAUUCGAUGCAACGCGAAGAACCUUACCUGGUCUUGACAUCCACAGAACUUUCCAGAGAUGGAUUGGUGCCUUCGGGAACUGUGAGACAGGUGCUGCAUGGCUGUCGUCAGCUCGUGUUGUGAAAUGUUGGGUUAAGUCCCGCAACGAGCGCAACCCUUAUCCUUUGUUGCCAGCGGUUAGGCCGGGAACUCAAAGGAGACUGCCAGUGAUAAACUGGAGGAAGGUGGGGAUGACGUCAAGUCAUCAUGGCCCUUACGACCGGGCUACACACGUGCUACAAUGGCGCAUACAAAGAGAAGCGACCUCGCGAGAGCAAGCGGACCUCAUAAAGUGCGUCGUAGUCCGGAUUGGAGUCUGCAACUCGACUCCAUGAAGUCGGAAUCGCUAGUAAUCGUGGAUCAGAAUGCCACGGUGAAUACGUUCCCGGGCCUUGUACACACCGCCCGUCACACCAUGGGAGUGGGUUGCAAAAAAAGUAGGUAGCUUAACCUUCGGGAGGGCGCUUACCACUUUGUGAUUCAUGACUGGGGUGAAGUCGUAACAAGGUAACCGUAGGGGAACCUGCGGUUGGAUCACCUCCUUACCUUAAAGAAGC
This 1548-nucleotide ribosomal RNA is filed under the name Salmonella enterica subsp. enterica serovar Adjame. RNAcentral describes it as "bacterial SSU rRNA". It matches the Rfam family "Bacterial small subunit ribosomal RNA". Lineage: Bacteria; Pseudomonadati; Pseudomonadota; Gammaproteobacteria; Enterobacterales; Enterobacteriaceae. The record is from RNAcentral.